This is a long non-coding RNA of Coregonus clupeaformis (lake whitefish), 146 nucleotides long. RefSeq lists it as uncharacterized. The record is from RefSeq and is a predicted model, not a curated record. The transcript is spliced from 3 exons. NCBI's taxonomy places the organism in Eukaryota, Metazoa, Chordata, Actinopteri, Salmoniformes, Salmonidae.
AUGACAUACAAUUUUCAGGUUACCCUACAUUUAUGCAGGAGUUACCCGAAGUAAUUGAUGUGGAUCAAGAAGCAACACCACAAACAGAAGUGAUUGUUAUAGAGGAUAACGAGUUUGAGGAACAACAGACAGAAGCUGUAUCUUUA